GCAGUCGAACGGUGAAGCCAAGCUUGCUUGGUGGAUCAGUGGCGAACGGGUGAGUAACACGUGAGCAACCUGCCCUGAACUCUGGGAUAAGCGCUGGAAACGGCGUCUAAUACUGGAUAUGAGCUGCGGAGGCAUCUUCGUGGUUGGAAAGAUUUUUCGGUUUGGGAUGGGCUCGCGGCCUAUCAGCUUGUUGGUGAGGUAAUGGCUCACCAAGGCGUCGACGGGUAGCCGGCCUGAGAGGGUGACCGGCCACACUGGGACUGAGACACGGCCCAGACUCCUACGGGAGGCAGCAGUGGGGAAUAUUGCACAAUGGGCGGAAGCCUGAUGCAGCAACGCCGCGUGAGGGAUGACGGCCUUCGGGUUGUAAACCUCUUUUAGCAGGGAAGAAGCGAAAGUGACGGUACCUGCAGAAAAAGCGCCGGCUAACUACGUGCCAGCAGCCGCGGUAAUACGUAGGGCGCAAGCGUUAUCCGGAAUUAUUGGGCGUAAAGAGCUCGUAGGCGGUUUGUCGCGUCUGCUGUGAAAUCUGGGGGCUCAACCCCCAGCCUGCAGUGGGUACGGGCAGACUAGAGUGCGGUAGGGGAGAUUGGAAUUCCUGGUGUAGCGGUGGAAUGCGCAGAUAUCAGGAGGAACACCGAUGGCGAAGGCAGAUCUCUGGGCCGUAACUGACGCUGAGGAGCGAAAGGGUGGGGAGCAAACAGGCUUAGAUACCCUGGUAGUCCACCCCGUAAACGUUGGGAACUAGUUGUGGGGUCCAUUCCACGGAUUCCGUGACGCAGCUAACGCAUUAAGUUCCCCGCCUGGGGAGUACGGCCGCAAGGCUAAAACUCAAAGGAAUUGACGGGGACCCGCACAAGCGGCGGAGCAUGCGGAUUAAUUCGAUGCAACGCGAAGAACCUUACCAAGGCUUGACAUACACGAGAACGCUGCAGAAAUGUAGAACUCUUUGGACACUCGUGAACAGGUGGUGCAUGGUUGUCGUCAGCUCGUGUCGUGAGAUGUUGGGUUAAGUCCCGCAACGAGCGCAACCCUCGUUCUAUGUUGCCAGCACGUAAUGGUGGGAACUCAUGGGAUACUGCCGGGGUCAACUCGGAGGAAGGUGGGGAUGACGUCAAAUCAUCAUGCCCCUUAUGUCUUGGGCUUCACGCAUGCUACAAUGGCCGGUACAAAGGGCUGCAAUACCGCGAGGUGGAGCGAAUCCCAAAAAGCCGGUCCCAGUUCGGAUUGAGGUCUGCAACUCGACCUCAUGAAGUCGGAGUCGCUAGUAAUCGCAGAUCAGCAACGCUGCGGUGAAUACGUUCCCGGGUCUUGUACACACCGCCCGUCAAGUCAUGAAAGUCGGUAACACCUGAAGCCGGUGGCCCAACCCUUGUGGAGGGAGCCGU
Molecule: ribosomal RNA, 1388 nt
Filed under: Microbacterium aurantiacum
Lineage: Bacteria; Bacillati; Actinomycetota; Actinomycetes; Micrococcales; Microbacteriaceae
Description: bacterial SSU rRNA
Rfam family: Bacterial small subunit ribosomal RNA
Source: RNAcentral